AUUGAACGCUGGCGGCAUGCCUUACACAUGCAAGUCGAACGGCAGCGCGGGAGCAAUCCUGGCGGCGAGUGGCGAACGGGUGAGUAAUACAUCGGAACGUGCCCAAUCGUGGGGGAUAACGCAGCGAAAGCUGUGCUAAUACCGCAUACGAUCUACGGAUGAAAGCAGGGGAUCGCAAGACCUUGCGCGAAUGGAGCGGCCGAUGGCAGAUUAGGUAGUUGGUGAGGUAAAGGCUCACCAAGCCUUCGAUCUGUAGCUGGUCUGAGAGGACGACCAGCCACACGGGAAGAGAGACACGGCCAAAACUCGGAGGGGGGGAAGCGGGGGGAAUUUUGGAAAAAGGGGCGAAAGCUGGAUCCAGCCAUGGCGGGUGCGGAAUGAGGGCCUUGGGUUUGAAAAUGUUUUUUGGAGGAAACAAACGGUUUUUUUCAAAAAAAGAGGGCUAAUGACGGUACGGAAAGAAAGAGCCGGGGCUAACUAGGU
RNAcentral lists this ribosomal RNA (483 nucleotides) under uncultured bacterium. RNAcentral's name for it is "partial 16S ribosomal RNA". It matches the Rfam family "Bacterial small subunit ribosomal RNA", at positions 29 to 506 of the family's 1533-position model. The record is from RNAcentral.